Long non-coding RNA from Neofelis nebulosa (Clouded leopard), 1858 nucleotides. RefSeq lists it as uncharacterized. The record is from RefSeq and is a predicted model, not a curated record. The transcript is spliced from 2 exons. Lineage: Eukaryota; Metazoa; Chordata; Mammalia; Carnivora; Felidae.
CCUCGCGUCGCGCGGCUGAAGGAGGGCUGGCGCGGCGCGCGCACGUACGCACGGACGUCCUCCUGAGGGAGGCGGGAACUUGGGCAGCGGGCGGGGAGUCGUCCCCGCCCCCCGCCUGACCUCCGGCCGCAGCGUGUAUGUCCGCGCCGCGGCAGCUCGGCUAGCUGCGAGCGUUUAAAGCCAGUGGCGGUGGACGCAGAACCGCCUUUGGCCGGCGCCGGUUAUGAGCUCGGACGCGGCGCUGGUGUGGGGAGAAAAGCGGGAAAGGGUGGAUAGGAGGCCGGCACCAGUCCCUUCGCAGCUAGCGUCUCCCGGGCGGCGCCGUCCCCAGAGGCGGGCGCGUCUCGGCGCAAACCUCACUUGCCGUACAUGUCGCACGCCAGGGUCUGCUGGCUCUGAGAUGCGGUCCUCCUCGGGCUCGGUGGCUUAACCAGCUGCGUUUGGGUGAUCGUGUCUCAGGGGAGCCGCGAAACGGGGCGCUUUUUUUUUUUUUUUUUAACUGGAGGCCGGCCAGAAAUAGGCUGAAAAGACCCCGGGAGGAAGAAACUCUUUAACAGCUAUCUUUAGCUUCUUAAGGUGAUUGAUUCUCAGAUGUCUACGUUUCAGAAAACCAACUGAGGAGCUUUUUCAAAGCAGAGAUGCCAUGGCCACACCCCAGACCUGCAUCAGGAAGUGGGGGGAGAGGGCUGAUGGAUGUUGAAAAGUCGCUUCGGCGGAUUCCGAUGUGCGUCAGUUUGAGGAGCCACCACCGAUCUACCCAGUGUUGUGUCCUGAGAGUCCCAUGUAGUGUCCCGGCGCGAGUUGCGUUCCAAAUGCCCUAAUGAUAUCGAUGAUAGAAGCUUUCAGAAAGGUUUGUCUCUGUUUGAAAACAAGUACCCGAGAUGUUUAUGCAGUGCAAGCGGCUGUUUUAAUGUUAGGAUCACGAAGUGCUUUCGUCUUCUGACAGUGUUCCCAAGGAACUGGUAUUCUCUGAGCUCGCACAAGGCCUUAAAAAUAAGCCGCCUCAAAACAUUUGUCAUUUAUUCGCUCACAGAUACCGACCUCUUACUGUGUAGUAGGGGAGUGUUUUAGAGAUCACAGCAGAAAGCAAAGAUCUUUGCCUUGGAGGAGCUUGCAAUCUAACGGAGGAAGAUUGACAAUAAAUAUAUGCCAGGGAGUGAUAAAUACCAUGAAGACAAAAUAAGCAGAGUAGAAGAAAUCAGAAAUGACUGGGGAAGGCCUCUGUUGGUAGAUGAACAAGACUUGUGGCUCUCUUGCAGAAGAGUAUUCCAGGCAGAGGAACACAAAUCACAAUAAACUCAACGCUGCAUUACAGCUCGACGUGGGAUGAGACCCUGGAACCCAAAGAACAGCGGUGAGAUUACAGGAGGCUGCAAGCAGAUGUGCCGCAAAGAUUUUCUCCUGAAUCAGGAAGUCAUCUUUUAUACUCGUCAAUUCCUUACAAGUGGAGGGUUAGAACACAACUCUGGAGCUGCACUACUGGAUCAAACACCUGGAUGACCUUCUAGCUAUAGAACUUCGACAAGUUUCUUCAUCAGCACCCACUAUAAGUCUGUGUACAGGAACGGCAGUACCUACUUCCUAGGGUUUCUGUGAGGAUCAAAUGAUUUUUGUAUUCACGUUAGUUCACCUACCUCAAGUGCUUAGAAUGGGGGUCCAAGCUUCAUGAAAUUGUUACCUCUGAUGAUGAUAACGACGGAUGACGGACGACACAGAUGGACACUGUAUUUCAGAAGUCUUGCAUGACAAUCAAAAAUCUGUUUAGAACUUAACCCUUUAUUUGAAACUAUAUAAACCAAAAGUUUCCAACUGACUGUACAUGUUAAAAACUUUCUAUAAAUAUCUCUUGGAUACAAAA